CCAGAGUAAACUCUGGUGUAGGUCUGUAGCAGUUCUGACAUGCAAAUCAGUCGUCCGACCUGGGUAUAGGGGUCAAAGACUAAGUAGCUGGUUCCCUCCGAAAUUUCCCUCAGCAUAGCUGGUGCUCUCACAGAUGAAGCCCCCAUGGCAGUUUUAUCUGGUAAAGCAAAUGAUUAGAGGUCUUGGGGCCAAAACAAUCUCAACCUAUUCUCAAACUUUAAAUGGGUAAGAAGCCUGGCUUGCUGGCAUGAAGCUGGGUGUGGAAUGUGAGUGCCUAGUGUGCCACUUUUGGUAAGCAGAACUGGCACUGCGGGUUAAGGUGCCUGAUGCUGACACUCAUCAGACCCCAGAAAAGAUGUUGGUUGAUAUAGACAGCAGGAUGGUGGCCAUUGAAGUCAGAAUCAGCUAAUGAGUGUGUAACAACUUACCUGCUGAAUCAACUAGCCCUGAAAACGAAUGGCACUGGAGCAUUGGGCCCAUACUUGGCUGUCGCCGGCAGUCGGGAAGGGACAGGAGCAGCCUCCUGGGCCCCCCCUCUUCUUCCUCCUCCUCCUGCUCCUCUCCUGGGGGGGGUGGGAGUGCAUGCGUGUAGGGUGGGACACCUGGGAGUGCACACUGCCCACAGACACUAUGCCAUGACGAGUAGGAGGGCCACUGCGGUGAGCCUUGAAGCCUAGGGUGCAGGCCCAGGUGGAGCUGCCACAGGUGCAGAUCAUGGUGGUAGUAGCAAAUAUUCAAAUGAGAACUUUGAAGGCCAAAGUGGAGAAGGGUUCCAUGUGAACAGCAGUUGAACAUGGGUCAGUCAGUCCUGAGAGAUGGGUGAGUGCUGUUCCAAAGGGAGAGGCAAUGGCCUCUGUUGCCCUCAGCUGAUUGAAAGGGAGUUGGGUUCAGACACCCAAAUGCAGAGUGGUGGAGAUAGGCAAUGUGAGGUGUCCAGUGUGGUAAUGCAUCCGAUCCCAGAGAAGCUAGCAGGAGCCCUGGGGAGAGUUUACUUUUCUUUGUGGAGGACAGGGAGCCCUGGAAAGGGUUUGCCCCAAGAAAGGGGCCCACGUCUUGGAAAGCAUAGUGGUUCUGGUGGCAUCUGGUGAGCACCCGCUGGCCCUUGACAAUCCAGGGGGAGAGGGUGUAAAUCUCACGCCAGGCAAUACCCAUAUCCGCAGCAGGUCUCCAAGGUGAACAGCCUCUGGCAUGUUGGAACAAUGUAGGCAAGGGAAGUCAGCAAGCUGGAUCCAUAACUUCAGGAUAAGGAUUGGCUCUAAGGGCUGUGUCGAUCAGGCCGGGAUGUGAAGCAGGGCUGGGCAUAUGCCAGGGCUGGACGAGGCACCGCUGCCGGGCCCGCCCCUGCAGCCCGUCACCAGUCCUUCUUCACGCACACAUGUGUGCACUGCUGCCCUCCCCUGCCACGUCCCUCUCCCCCACUCCUGGGUAGGUUGCAGGGCGGUGGCGGCGGGUCAUCGCAGUCAUCACUGUGCACUAGGGGUUUCUCAGGAGGGUGGCAGUCCCCUGCAGGGGGUUCUGCAGGCCACCGGGGGCAUUCUUGGACACCCAGUGGGGUCGCUGGCAGCAGUGACUCUGAACGCAAGCUUGCUCCUUCCCGUGGAUCACUCAGCUGUGGUGGGUGUCAUGGCUGCACCUGGGGAGCCCAAUGGGGCAGACUGGCGUUCCUGCCCCCUUGCCUCAGCUGGUGCCUAGCAGCUGAAUUAGAACUGAUGUGGACUUGGGGAAUCCGACUGUUUAAUUAAAACAAAGCAUCACAAUGACCCACAGUGGGUGUUGACACAAUGUGAUUUCUGCCCAGUGCUCUGAAUGUCAAAGUGAAGAAAUUCAGUGAAGCACAGGUAAAUGGUGGGAUCAACUGUGACUCUCUUAAGGUAGCCAAAUGCCUCAUCAUCUAAUUAGUGACAUGCAUGAAUGGAUGAAUGAGAUUCCCACCAUCCCUACCUACUAUCCAGUGAAACCUCAGCCAAGGGAACGGGCUUGGUGGAAUCAGUGGGGAAAGAAAGCCCUGUUGAGCUUGACUCUAGUCUGGCAUGGUGAAGAGACAAGAGGUGUAGAAUAAGUGGGAGGCCCCCAGCAUCCCACCCCCAUGUUCUCCCAUCGAGGUGGGUGCAGGGCAGGGUCACACCGGCACUCACGGGCCGCCAGUGAAAUACCACUAUUCUGAUUGUUUUUUCACUGACCUGGUGAGGCAGGGGGCAAGCCCUGAGGGGCUCUUGCUUCUGGUUCCAGGCGUGAACCACUCCAGGGACAGUGUCAAGUGGGGAGUUUGACUGGGGCAGUACACCUGUCAAAUGGUAAUGCAGGUGACCUAAGGCGAGCUCAGGGAGGACAGAAACCUCCUGGGGAGCAGAAGAGCAAAAGCUUGCUUGAUCUUGAUUUUCAGUACGAAUACAGACCGUGAAAGUGGGACCUCACUAUCCUUCUGACCUUUUGGGUCUUAAGCAGGAGGUGUCAGAAAGGUUACUACAGGGAUAACUGGCUUGUGGUGGUCAAGCACUCAUAGCAACAUCGCUUUUUGAUCCUUCAACGUCAGCUCUUCCUAUCAUUGUGAAGCAGAAUUCACCAAGAAUUGGAUUAUUCAUCCACUAAUAGGGAAAGUGAGCUGGGUUUAGACCGUCGUGAGACAGGUUAGUUUUAUCCUACUGAUGAUGUGUUUUUGCCAUGGUAAUCCUGCUCAGUAUGACAAGAACCGCAGAUUCAGAGAUUUGGUGUAUGUGCUUGGCUGAGGAGCCAAUGGAGUGAAGCUACCAUCUGUGGGAUUAUGACUGAACGCAUCUAAGACAGAAUCCUGCCCAGGCAGAAUGAUACGGCUCCCGAGGAGCCUCGGUUGGCCUCGGAUAGCCAUGCCUCCACAGUCCCUGCCGGGACUGGUUGGUGGCUGGGGGUCCCCAAACUCAGUCAGGUCCGCCCCUGAGCCAUCACUGCUGCAUAUUUGGGACCGGGGAUCCAGUGCAGAGAGCCCUUCAUCCCGGGAAACAGGGCAUAGCCGCGAAAGUCAGCUGCUCUCUUGC
This 3011-nucleotide ribosomal RNA is filed under the name Castor canadensis (American beaver). RNAcentral's name for it is "eukaryotic LSU rRNA". It matches the Rfam family "Eukaryotic large subunit ribosomal RNA", at positions 852 to 3401 of the family's 3401-position model. Lineage: Eukaryota; Metazoa; Chordata; Mammalia; Rodentia; Castoridae. The record is from RNAcentral.